CUCAAGCCUGGUGCCGGGGAGGAGAGCCUGGCAGACAGAGCUCUGGGUAGAGUCUGGGUAGAGGGACCUGUGGUGGGAGAAAGAGAGAAGAUCAGAGUGGAGGGGAGAAGCAGGGUUGGGGCCUUGAAGGUACUGCUGAGCAUGUGGGUCCUUAUCCUUACCCUGCAUUGCCCGCAGGCCUGACCUUUGCUUCAUUCUUCAUGGCUGCCAAGUGAGAGUGUGGCCCCUGCAGAUGGUUGGAUCAUCCAUCCAGUUCUUUGCUUCCUCUAGCUGAUAUCCUUCUUUGCUGUACUAUAUGGGAAAAGCAAGAAAUAUUUGACACCAAAAUGUGGAGUUUUGCUCUUGUUGUCCAGCUGGAGUGCAAUGGCGCGAUCUCAGCUCACUGCAACCUCUGCCUCCUGGGUUCAAGUGAUUCUCCUGCCUUACCCUCCUGAGUAGCUGGGAUUACAGGCACCCGCCACCACGCCUGGCUAAUUUUUGCAUUUUUAGUAGAUGGGGUUUCACCAUGUUGACCAGGCUGGUCUCAAACUCCUGACCUCAGGUGAUCCACCCGCCUCAGCCUCCCAAAGUGCUGGGAUUAGAGGCAUGAGCCACCGCGCCCGACCUCAGUCUCUCAAUUGUGCUUCCUUUGUGUGGCCCCGUAUUGCCCUGUAUAGAAGCAUUUCGUCUUCACAACAACUCUAUGAG
Molecule: long non-coding RNA, 687 nt
Filed under: Homo sapiens (human)
Lineage: Eukaryota; Metazoa; Chordata; Mammalia; Primates; Hominidae
Description: HSALNT0205557
Source: RNAcentral